UGCAGUUCGAGCGAAUGGAUUGAGAGCUUGCUCUCAUGAAGUUAGCGGCGGACRGGUGAGWAACACGUGGGUAACCUGCCCAUAAGACUGGGAUAACUCCGGGAAACCGGGGCUAAUACCGGAUAACAUUUUGAACUGCAUGGUUCGAAAUUGAAAGGCGGCUUCSGCUGUCACUUAUGGAUGGACCCRCGUCRCAUUAGCURGUUGGUGAGGUAACGGCUCAMCAAGGCAACGAUGCGUAGMCRACCUGAMAGGGUGAUCGGCCACWCUGGGACUGASACACRGCCCASACUCCUACGGGAGGCAGCAUUARGGAAUCUUCCGCAAUGGACGAAAGUCUGACGGAGCAACGCCGCGUGAGUGAUGAAGGCUUUCGGGUCGUAAAACUCUGUUGUUAGGGAAGAACAAGUGCUAGUUGAAUAAGCUGGCACCUUGACGGUACCUAACCAGAAAGCCACGGCUAACUACGUGCCAGCAGCCGCGGUAAUACGUAGGUGGCAAGCGUUAUCCGGAAUUAUUGGGCGUAAAGCGCGCGCAGGUGGUUUCUUAAGUCUGAUGUGAAARCCCACGGCUCAMCCGUGGAGGGUCAUUGGAAACUGGGAGACUUGAGUGCAGAAGAGGAAAGUGGAAUUCCAUGUGUAGCGGUGAAAUGCGUAGAGAUAUGGAGGAACACCAGUGGCSAAGGCGACUUUCUGGUCUGUAACUGACACUGAGGCGCGAAAGCGUGGGGAGCAAACAGGAUUAGAUACCCUGGUAGUCCACGCCGUAAACRAUGAGUGCUA
Molecule: ribosomal RNA, 782 nt
Filed under: Bacillus sp. ZK4764
Lineage: Bacteria; Bacillati; Bacillota; Bacilli; Caryophanales; Bacillaceae
Description: partial 16S ribosomal RNA
Rfam family: Bacterial small subunit ribosomal RNA
Source: RNAcentral